This 253-nucleotide ribosomal RNA is filed under the name uncultured bacterium. RNAcentral's name for it is "partial 16S ribosomal RNA". It matches the Rfam family "Bacterial small subunit ribosomal RNA", at positions 524 to 776 of the family's 1533-position model. The record is from RNAcentral.
UACGAAGGGUGCAAGCGUUAAUCGGAAUUAUUGGGCGUAAAGGGCGCGUAGGCGGUUUGUUACGUCUGUUGUGAAAUCCCCGGGCUCAACCUGGGAAUGGCAAUGGAUACUGGCAAGCUAGAGUGUGUCAGAGGAUGGUGGAAUUUCCGGUGUAGCGGUGAAAUGCGUAGAGAUCGGGAGGAACAUCAGUGGCGAAGGCGGGCAUCUGGGACAACACUGACGCUGAGGCGCGAAAGCGAGGGGAGCAAACAGG